GUCCUUCGCAUCGAGACAUCCAUCUCGGUGGGCUCCAGAUUGGCGACGUUGUUCUGGUUUGACAGAUGGGCUGGAGAUCCCCCCUUCGCCGCGCGCUUCCCCGACCUCUUCUCCAUCGCGGUAGAACCCCGGAUCUCUGUUGAGAGGGCCCCUAUUGACCUAGGGCGCCUUACUUUCAGGAGGCCCUUUGGCCCCCCGGAAUCCGCCGCCUGGCGUGAGUUGCUGGACUGCGUGGCUCUUCACGAGCCGGUGGUGGAUAGUAACAUUGACCGGGUGAGAUGGCGCCUCAAACCUUCGGGACAAUUCUCCACCAAGUCUCUGUACCAGGACAUCGCUCCCUCCUCCGCCUCCCCCCUUGUGACGGUGUGGUCCAUCCGCCCACCCCUGAAAAUCCGGAUCUUCAUGUGGCAGUGGAUUCGCGGUCGACUCCCGUCUGGCGUUGAGGUCCGCAAGCGCAAUGGCCCGGGCUCCAGCCUCUGCCCUCUUUGCGGCAUUCCCGAGGACUCGAAUAAUCCGCGCAAUUCGUGUGGAGUUGCUUCCAUGACGUGGUGGGUGGAAAUUGGUGUCAUACCAACUUCCCCGACUUAUAUGACGAGCUCCAGUCCUCCCCCCUGA
Molecule: ribosomal RNA, 615 nt
Filed under: Triticum aestivum (bread wheat)
Lineage: Eukaryota; Viridiplantae; Streptophyta; Magnoliopsida; Poales; Poaceae
Description: partial small subunit ribosomal RNA
Source: RNAcentral